GUUUACUGCGUUUUCUGUGCCCUUUGCCUCGCUGUGACAUCUUUGGUAUAUUCCAACUUGUUGCUCGCUCUUUAUAGGCUACACGUUGCCUCGAAGAUCACCAUGAUCGCCUCCGACUCAGCCACAUCGAAGAAUCAAAAUGAGGCUGGAGACACCACAGCCGGAAUGCGAAAGGUUGGAGAAGUGCUCAUUCAGAUGAUCCUGGCACAGCUUGC
Long non-coding RNA from Dermacentor silvarum, 215 nucleotides. RefSeq lists it as uncharacterized. The record is from RefSeq and is a predicted model, not a curated record. The transcript has 3 exons. NCBI's taxonomy places the organism in Eukaryota, Metazoa, Arthropoda, Arachnida, Ixodida, Ixodidae.